GGUUGUGGCUCAGUGAUAGAGCACUUGCCUCACACGUGUGAGGCACUGGGUUCAAUUCUCAGCACAUCA
RNAcentral lists this transfer RNA (69 nucleotides) under Marmota monax (woodchuck). RNAcentral's name for it is "tRNA.Val". The stretch from base 4 to 64 matches the Rfam family "tRNA", at positions 6 to 65 of the family's 71-position model. From Rfam's summary of the family: Transfer RNA (tRNA) molecules are approximately 80 nucleotides in length. The record is from RNAcentral. Lineage: Eukaryota; Metazoa; Chordata; Mammalia; Rodentia; Sciuridae.